Molecule: non-coding RNA, 1095 nt
Organism: Myodes glareolus (Bank vole)
Lineage: Eukaryota; Metazoa; Chordata; Mammalia; Rodentia; Cricetidae
Source: RefSeq, a predicted model, not a curated record
GAGAACUGUUCCUUCCUCCUUGGCUGCUCCUGGGUGAUGAGCUUCACAGGGUGAGUUGUAGCGUGUUCGCCACCAGGUGGUGCCAUCAUCCCUACUGAGCCCUACGUGUUCCACUGGACUGAGCGACCUUGGACUACCGAAUUUCCCAGGAGAUCUCGGGGGACUUUCCCUCCAGACCCGAAAAUCCUCAAAUCGGAACAGAAAAUGGACAGGGUGCAUUGAGAAGGACCUGAACGGGGAUGGACCAACCAUGGAAAACCGGGGCCUCUCUGCUGCAGUUUGGUUCAACACCUUCAUGGAGCCCAGGUUGGCAGAAAUUAUGACUACAGCUUCUAUCAACAACAGCAGCAACAACAAAAUUAACUCCAGCUCGAUGUGGAAAGUAAAGACUCCUCCUGUGCCCUGGAACACCAACUGGAGGCUGUCUGGUGAGGUUCAGUUCCCCCCGGCGGGUGUGGAGCUGCAAGGUCGGAGGCUGAGACUUCCAUUCUGUGACUGUGAUAAAAUACCCUGACAAAAAUCAGUAUAGGGGAGGAGUUUAGUGUGCACGAUUCCAGAUUGCAGUGUAUUGUUCAGGGCAAGUCAAGGCAUGAGCUCCAAGCAGCUAGCCACAUUACAUCCACAUCUAAGAGCAGAGAGAGGUGGGUGCGUGCAUGCUUUGUGCUUAGCUGGCUUUCUCUGCUCUCACAUAGUUCAGGACCUCAAAUCAGGCAUGAGGUCCCUACUUUCAGGGACCCUGUGUGCCCUGGUUGUUUGUUUUUGGUUUUGUUUGUUUGUUAUUUGAUAUAAACUAGAAGAACCUCUAGUUUGAUAUUUUCCAGUUGAGAAAACGCCUCAAUCAGAUUGCCUAUAGGCAAGUCUAGGGACAUUUUCCUGAUUCAUGGAUAAAUAUGGAGGGUCCAGAUCACCAUAAGUGUUGCCACCCCUGGGUAAGUGGGCCAGGGUUUUAUAGAAAACAGCCUGAACAAGCCAUGGGGAGCAAGCCAGUAAUCAGCACACACCUAUGGCUUCUGCUUCAGUUCCUGUCUCUGGGUUCCUGCCUGAUGGAGUGUGAUCUGAGAGUUAUAAGAGGAAAUAAACCCUCUCUUCCCCCCA